CCCUUAGAUGUUCUGGGCCGCACGCGCGCUACACUGGUCGAUGCAACGAGUUUCUUUCCUUGGCCGACAGGCCUGGGCAAUCUUUGAACAUCGAUCGUGAUCGGGAUAGAUUCUUGUAAUUUUUGAUCUUAAACGAGGAAUUCCUAGUAAACGCAAGUCAUCAGCUUGCAUUGAUUACGUCCCUGCCCUUUGUACACACCGCCCGUCGCACCUACCGAUUGAAUGGUUCGGUGAAGAUCUCGGACUUCGAUAUUUGUUCUUCAUUGAACUUAUAUAGUGGGAAGUUAUCUGAACCUCAUCAUUUAGAGGAAGGUGAAGUCGUAACA
This 326-nucleotide ribosomal RNA is filed under the name uncultured eukaryote. Its description in RNAcentral is "partial 18S ribosomal RNA". It matches the Rfam family "Eukaryotic small subunit ribosomal RNA", at positions 1470 to 1796 of the family's 1831-position model. The record is from RNAcentral.